RNAcentral lists this long non-coding RNA (1981 nucleotides) under Vombatus ursinus (common wombat). RNAcentral describes it as "lncRNA (ENSVURG00010007598.1)". The record is from RNAcentral. Lineage: Eukaryota; Metazoa; Chordata; Mammalia; Diprotodontia; Vombatidae.
AUGCACACGUGUGCACACACCUGCCCCCACGAGCCUGGUGCAUGCUUCACUGCAGCCUUUCCCGUUUCCUUCAGCUGGGCGUUCUUGCACCCGUCUGUGCCGAGUGUGCCCAUUUUUGCGCUCGUGACUGGUGGUCCCCUGUACACGUUCAUUCAUCCCUGCUCCGCACGUUCAUUCUGGAUUCUAGGCACUCCUGCCUGGUGCUUGCACGGUGCUUCUCGCCCUGUGGCGCUUCCUCCCUGGCCGCACCGGUGCGUGGCGCAGGCUUCUCGGGCUUGCGUCUUCCUUCUGACUCUGUUCCUGCUUGUGCUAGGAGCCAUCUCGUGUGCUUCCUGCGUUUGGCUUCUUCGGAGCCCAGCCCGCAGAUCUGGAGAGUUUCCGGCUCCCUGGCUCUUGGUCCCGAGACUCCUCGAAAGGCCAUGGAGAGUUGAAGAGUCACAACAGAGAAGGGAGUGCUGUGCUGACCUGUGGUGGGGUCUGGAUUAGCAGGGCUGCAUUAGAGCAAGACCACACGUUGCUGUUUGCUGCUGUCUUUGACCCCCAUUUCCUGGAAAUUUGGCUCCAGAAUUGAGGGCAGAGGGGUGGGGUUGUGGACAGAUUAUGUCUCAGAACCUUGGGAGAGUCAUGGCUCCAUGGAGGCUCAGAGAAGCCUGCAGCUCUGUGGGGAAGGGAAGGCUGUGUGCUCCAGUAGCAUGCCGGCAGUCCUGUGGACCCCUCCUUGGGGAAUGUCUGGGGGCCAUGACUGAGAGCAGCACAGGAUGAAUGGGCAUAUUUGGAGGGCGAAGGUCACAGACUACUCGGGCUGUCUUUGGUUAUCAUUGGGGUGGAGUGGAGGAGAAAGUCUGUUCACUUAAAUUCAGGCAAUGUUUAUCAAGCCAACCAUCUCUGUGCAACAUUGUGCUCACACACCUGGACAAUGAUGAGUGUGUACGUGUAUGUGUGUGCAUGUCUGCAUGUACGUGCAUAUAUGUGUAUGUGUGCAUGCGUUCGUGUGUGUGUGUGUGUGUGUGCGCGCGUGUGUGCGCGUGUUAGGGGCCUUAGCUGCAGGCAGCCCUGUUGGAGCUCUGGGAGGAAGGUCCUCGGAGGGCAGGGUGGAGGACUCCAAUAACUGAACGUUCUAGAGCAUUUUAAAGUUUGUCCAGCUUUGCCCCCCUUGAUCUUAAACCCCAGGCGAGNNNNNNNNNNCUAAGUUAGACGUAGCUGUUAUUCCUGAUUUGUCAGGUAUUUGUAAGUACAUUCGGGGUAGUGCGUCAGGUGUGGAGGGAGGGCUGCUUUCACCUCCGCUGCCCACCAGCUGCUCUCCUCGUGCAGGGUUUGUGUUGGCCCUUCCACUUUUUCCUUUAUCGUCCCUCACUAGGAGCUGUGCUUCUCUGUUGUUCGGCCAGACUUCAUUGUCGUGUGUAAACUGAGGGACUGGUCUGUGCAUAAAUCUUGAUCUGUGUUUAGGUUGGCCACUGAGAGGCCUUUUCAGCCUGUCACCUGGUCCAAACAAUCGAGGUUGUCACUUCUGGAUAAGUGAGGUAAUGCUCUUAAUAGAAUUGUCUGUGUGAUGCAUUUCCAGAUUCAUAGUUAACUCUAGGGAUUUUAUAAAAUUAGGAUUUUUAAAAAAUUAAACUUUCUGAUAAAAUACUGUGAACUCAGCAGCGCUGUGUCAGUACGCAAUUGACUGAACAGGUUGGCGAGUGGAGUCAGUUAAAAAGGGUGAGCUGCUGGCGUGAGGUGAGAAGAUGGCAGGGAUGCUGGCUUUGCGAGCUCGCUCGCCAGGUUCUUUCGGGGACCAUGUCGGGUCCCGUCCGGGGCUGUGUGAGUGUGCACGCUGGGGUCGAUGGACUUGGAUGACACACUUCCCUCUGUAGUGGGAGGUAGCCCUAAACAGAGACUGCCUUGGGUUUGUUCACUGUGUGCAGUGAGAUGCCUAACGGGAACACAGACACGUUCAGUAUAUAUUCAUAAAUUGAAUAAAAACACUGCUCUAGCGACA